GGGUGAUUAGCUCAGCUGGGAGAGCACCUCCCUUACAAGGAGGGGGUCGGCGGUUCGAUCCCGUCAUCAACCACCA
RNAcentral lists this transfer RNA (76 nucleotides) under Escherichia coli. Its description in RNAcentral is "tRNA-Val". It matches the Rfam family "tRNA". From Rfam's summary of the family: Transfer RNA (tRNA) molecules are approximately 80 nucleotides in length. Lineage: Bacteria; Pseudomonadati; Pseudomonadota; Gammaproteobacteria; Enterobacterales; Enterobacteriaceae. The record is from RNAcentral. RNAcentral also lists the same sequence under 6 other names.